RNAcentral lists this long non-coding RNA (1823 nucleotides) under Otus sunia (Oriental scops-owl). RNAcentral describes it as "lncRNA (ENSOSUG00000006688.1)". Lineage: Eukaryota; Metazoa; Chordata; Aves; Strigiformes; Strigidae. The record is from RNAcentral.
AUCAACUGUAACCGAAGUGUGUUUUCCUUGAGCAUCCUAGUAUCAGCCGGGGCUGAUGAUACGAUAAUCAACAAACAAUGGGCUUUUCCCAUCCCGCCGCUGGUAGAAACCCUUGGAUUUAAUCUGAUAGUCUCACGGCGCAAGUUUGGGUUGUUUUUUUUUUUUUGGAUUGUGCUUUGCCAGGCCUGGGAGCUGGGGGCUGGCAAGUCUGCAGCUUGCCCAACUCCCUCAGAUCGCUAUCGGGAAGGAGCAGGCGAGUGAUGGAAAGAAACAAUGAUGGCAAAAAGAGCCGUGGUUCACAAAACCCGGGGAUUGUUACUGACACGCGUGUGCCGUGGCACCGGCUCUCUCCGGCUACGCGUUACAGGGGGAUAAGAUCUCGAUCUGACUCAUGGCUGGCAGAUACAGACCGUCCAAGUUAUAUAUAUCCCCACGGAGAAGCGUGGAGACCGUACCCGUCGGAGGCAGAGCCUGCUGGCUUUCCCAGGGAGGGAGGUCACGCCGGAGCGGGAAGGGAGCAGAUGUGAGGCGCUUGCAGCACCUGGGCUUUGGGAGAUGGUGCCACCACCACCACCACCGUGCUCUGCCAGCAGCCCGGGACGGUCCUGCUGGGGAUCUCCCACCUCAGGGCGAUCAAUCCCCCAGUACAGCCCUCAAGUCAAGCACCGUGCCUUGGACCAAAUAACCCUGAGUGACUGGAGCGAUACAAUCUUUACACAAUCAAACUAAGAUGCUGCAUCUACUAAGGAAAAAUAAAUAAAUCUUAUUUCAUAAACUUGUUUAAGCUGAAAUGUUCAUUGGUAAGCCUGUAAAAGUGGGAACAUCUGUGCUCCUGCUGGGAUUUGAUGUCUCACCACAAACCUUUCCAUAAGCACUUUGUCUCUGAUAGGAAACAAAGAAGAAAAUACCUGAUCCCCAGCCUCAGUUGGGCAGCUCCUUCUAUCUUCACGCCCUGACCCACUGAGCAUUCCUCCCAGCAACGAGCCGCUGCCCAGGGCUACCUCCGCCAUGGAAGCUGGCUAACUAAUCUCUUAGCAAACACUUGCAGCAAACCUGAAGAGAGUUUCAAAAGGCGACGAAGAAGGGGAGAAAAAAAAAAAAACAAACUUUCUACAGAUAAAGCCUACAGUGUCUCUAAGAGAAGAGAAUCAGAACCUGAAUGUAGCUCCAUAUUCUCACGUUUUCUCUUAGUGAACUGCUGAGAUAUAAAGUUGUGGCCACUUAAUGAACUUAUAUAUAUAUUUUAAUCUUAAUCCAGUUUCCUGCUCCCUUCCACUAACCUGCCGUAACCCAGUUUGCUUUAUUUCUGCCUGCCAAUAGUCCUCCGAGUAUGCUUACAGGUAUUUGCAAAGAGCUGCUUUUAUCACAGCAACACCGCUGGGAUGAUAUGGCACUUGAAAAGUCCAUCCUGCGUGCCCUGCCUGCACACGGGGUAACCUCUCCUUAGGAGCUUAUAGGAAAAUCCACUGUUGAAAUAAAUAACACCUCUCAACAAAUGAUCAAAGAAGAAAUAAAUCUUUUACCCUUAUAAGACUUUUUAAAACUGAAAUCCCAUUUUUUAACUGGAUAACAGUUAAGAGGCUACCGGCCACCUAUUUUUCUGGGAGCUACGUUUUAAAUGUUUGCUGCAUGGAUAUUGGACAGACAAACGGAUCUGUAGUUCUUGGGAGCAAAAGCUUUUAAAAUAAAGUUUGUGCGUAGUAUAUGAAAACAUAUUGUUUGGAAUUUAAGUUCUAAUAUCUAGGAAUAAACAGAGCAUUAAAUCAAGCAAAACUGUGACAAGGCCAAUAUGCACAUGGAUGAUGCCAGCGAGGCAUCUCCAG